RNAcentral lists this ribosomal RNA (329 nucleotides) under uncultured bacterium. Its description in RNAcentral is "bacterial SSU rRNA". It matches the Rfam family "Bacterial small subunit ribosomal RNA", at positions 568 to 898 of the family's 1533-position model. The record is from RNAcentral.
UGCGCAGGCGGUUGUGCAAGACAGAUGUGAAAUCCCCGGGCUUAACCUGGGAAUGGCAUUUGUGACUGCACGGCUAGAGUGUGUCAGAGGGGGGUAGAAUUCCACGUGUAGCAGUGAAAUGCGUAGAUAUGUGGAGGAAUACCGAUGGCGAAGGCACGCCCCUGGGAUAACACUGACGCUCAUGCACGAAAGCGUGGGAGCAAACAGGAUUAGAUACCCUGGUAGUCCACGCCCUAAACGAUGUCAACUAGUUGUCGGGUCUUAAUUGACUUGGUAACGCAGCUAACGCGUGAAGUUGACCGCCUGGGGAGUACGGUCGCAAGAUUAAA